RNAcentral lists this ribosomal RNA (182 nucleotides) under uncultured bacterium. Its description in RNAcentral is "partial 16S ribosomal RNA". It matches the Rfam family "Bacterial small subunit ribosomal RNA", at positions 593 to 774 of the family's 1533-position model. The record is from RNAcentral.
UGUGAAAAUCCGGGGCUCAACUCCGGACUUGCAGUGGGUACGGGCAGACUAGAGUGUGGUAGGGGAGACUGGAAUUCCUAGUGUAGAGGUGAAAUUCGCAGAUAUUAGGAGGAACACCGAUGGCGUAAGCAGCCAACUGGACGAUUACUGACGCUGAGAUACGAAAGCGUGGGGAGCAAACA